GAAGGAUUAGUUAAAUUAUAACAUCAGAAUGUCAAACUGAAAUAACCAAAAGGUACCCUUCU
Molecule: transfer RNA, 62 nt
Filed under: Macrotermes sp. B TB-2017
Lineage: Eukaryota; Metazoa; Arthropoda; Insecta; Blattodea; Termitidae
Description: tRNA-Asp
Source: RNAcentral